AACGCACAUUGCGCCCCUUGGUAUUCCGAGGGGCAUGCCUGUUCGAGCGUCAUUACAACCCUCAAGCUUAGCUUGGUAUUGGACCCCGUCGCUAAUCUGGCGGGUCUUAAAAUCAGUGGCGGUGUCGUUGAGGCCCUGAGCGUAGUAAAUAUCCUCGCUAUAGGGACCCGGCGGUUACUGGCCAUUAACCCCCAAUUCUCUAAGUUUGACCUCGGAUCAGGUAGGGAUACCCGCUGAACUUAA
RNAcentral lists this unclassified non-coding RNA (243 nucleotides) under uncultured fungus. RNAcentral's name for it is "sequence contains ITS2". The stretch from base 1 to 52 matches the Rfam family "5.8S ribosomal RNA", at positions 103 to 154 of the family's 154-position model. The record is from RNAcentral. Lineage: Eukaryota; Fungi.